GAUGAACGCUGGCGGCGUGCUUAACACAUGCAAGUCGAACGGAAAGGCCCAAGCUUGCUUGGGUACUCGAGUGGCGAACGGGUGAGUAACACGUGGGUGAUCUGCCCUGCACUUCGGGAUAAGCCUGGGAAACUGGGUCUAAUACCGGAUAGGACGAUGGUUUGGAUGCCAUUGUGGAAAGUUUUUUCAGUGUGGGAUGAGCUCGCGGCCUAUCAGCUUGUUGGUGGGGUAAUGGCCUACCAAGGCGUCGACGGGUAGCCGGCCUGAGAGGGUGUACGGCCACAUUGGGACUGAGAUACGGCCCAGACUCCUACGGGAGGCAGCAGUGGGGAAUAUUGCACAAUGGGCGCAAGCCUGAUGCAGCGACGCCGCGUGGGGGAUGACGGCCUUCGGGUUGUAAACUCCUUUCGCUAGGGACGAAGCGUUUUGUGACGGUACCUGGAGAAGAAGCACCGGCUAACUACGUG
This 467-nucleotide ribosomal RNA is filed under the name uncultured bacterium. RNAcentral's name for it is "partial 16S ribosomal RNA". It matches the Rfam family "Bacterial small subunit ribosomal RNA", at positions 28 to 507 of the family's 1533-position model. The record is from RNAcentral.